UACGUAGGGGGCAAGCGUUGUCCGGAUUUACUGGGCGUAAAGAGCGUGUAGGCGGCCACGCAGGUCCGUUGUGAAAACUGGAGGCUCAACCUCGAGACGUCGAUGGAAACCAUCUAGCUAGAGUCCGGAAGAGGAGAGUGGAAUUCCUGGUGUAGCGGUGAAAUGCGCAGAUAUCAGGAAGAACACCCGUGGCGAAGGCGGCUCUCUGGUACGUGACUGACGCUGAGACGCGAAAGCGUGGGGAGCGAACAGG
Molecule: ribosomal RNA, 253 nt
Filed under: uncultured bacterium
Lineage: Bacteria
Description: partial 16S ribosomal RNA
Rfam family: Bacterial small subunit ribosomal RNA
Source: RNAcentral